CACUGCCGAGAAAAGCCUCUAGCUAGAAUAACGGUGCCCGUACCGCAAACCGACACAGGUAGUCAAGAUGAGAAUUCUAAGGUGAGCGAGCGAACUCUCGUUAAGGAACUCGGCAAAAUGACCCCGUAACUUCGGGAGAAGGGGUGCUCUUUGAGGUUCACGCUUCGAAGAGCCGCAGUGAAUAGGCCCAAGCGACUGUUUAUCAAAAACACAGGUCUCUGCUAAACCGUAAGGUGACGUAUAGGGGCUGACGCCUGCCCGGUGCUGGAAGGUUAAGAGGAGUGGUUAGCGCAAGCGAAGCUACGAAUCGAAGCCCCAGUAAACGGCGGCCGUAACUAUAACGGUCCUAAGGUAGCGAAAUUCCUUGUCGGGUAAGUUCCGACCCGCACGAAAGGCGUAACGAUUUGGGCACUGUCUCAACGAGAGACUCGGUGAAAUCAUAGUACCGGUGAAGAUGCCGGUUACCCGCGACAGGACGGAAAGACCCCGUGGAGCUUUACUGUAGCCUGAUAUUGAAAUUCGGUACAGUUUGUACAGGAUAGGUAGGAGCCUUAGAAGCGUGAGCGCUAGCUUACGUGGAGGCAUUGGUGGGAUACUACCCUAAUUGUAUUGGAUUUCUAACCCGCAGCACUUAUCGUGCUGGGAGACAGUGUCAGGCGGGCAGUUUGACUGGGGCGGUCGCCUCCUAAAGAGUAACGGAGGCGCUCAAAGGUUCCCUCAGAAUGGUUGGAAAUCAUUCAUAGAGUGUAAAGGCAUAAGGGAGCUUGA
RNAcentral lists this ribosomal RNA (768 nucleotides) under Staphylococcus pseudintermedius. RNAcentral's name for it is "partial 23S ribosomal RNA". It matches the Rfam family "Bacterial large subunit ribosomal RNA", at positions 1603 to 2372 of the family's 2925-position model. The record is from RNAcentral. Lineage: Bacteria; Bacillati; Bacillota; Bacilli; Caryophanales; Staphylococcaceae.